AGUGAACGCUGGCGGUAGGCCUAACACAUGCAAGUCGAACGGCAGCACCGUAAGAUCUUGCUCUUACGGGUGGCGAGUGGCGGACGGGUGAGGAAUACAUCGGAAUCUACUUUUUCGUGGGGCAUCACGUAGGGAAACUUACGCUAAUACCGCAUAUGACCUACGGUUGAAAGCAUUGGAUCUUCUCACCUUGUGCGAUUGAAUGAGCCGAUUUCGGGUUAGAUGGUUGGCGGGGUAAUGGCCCACCAAGUCGAGGAUCGGUAGCUGGUCUGAGAGGAGGAUCAGCCACACUGGAACGGAGACACGGUCAAGACUCCUAAGGGAGGCAGCAGUGGGGAAUAUGGGACAAUGGGGGCAAGCCUGAUACAGUGAGACCGCGUGGGAGAAGAAGGCCUUCGGGUUGUAAAGCCCUUUUGUUGGGAAAGAAAAGCAGUAGGUUAAGACGCCGCUGGAGUGACGGUACCCAAAGAAGAAGCACCGGCUAACUACGUG
Molecule: ribosomal RNA, 492 nt
Filed under: uncultured bacterium
Lineage: Bacteria
Description: partial 16S ribosomal RNA
Rfam family: Bacterial small subunit ribosomal RNA
Source: RNAcentral